GGCCCCGGGCUCUGGGGCAGCUGCUACUCAGCGCCAGCUGUUCGUCGCCAUGGGGGGAAGCGGGACCAGAGCCGCCGGGUCUUCGGCUUUUUCAAGAGGAUGCAUAGAUCCGGGUUGUUAUUUGAACUGUCCUGACUUUGGUAAGACUCUGCAGGCCAAACAAAACAUAUCUGGGGGCUGGAUGGGGUCCUAGGGACUGCCCGUUUGCGACCCCUGGUUAACAGCUGCCUCCCCAGCUAGACCGUGAGUUCUGUGAGGGCAGGGCCCAUGUCUGCUUUAGUCACCAUUUGCCCCCAGCCCCUGGCCCAGAGCAAGUGCUCAGUAAGUGAGCCGUGGAUUAUGGCUGUCCCUGGCCUUGGGCGCUGGGGAGGAGCCGGCUAACUCAGGUAGUGCUCCCCACUCUUCUGAGCAGGGAUCCCUGGUGCAUGCACCCACCACCCGGCCUCCCUCCUCACCAGGCUGCUAGCUCAGGGGCACAUGGCCAGCUCCCCCAGGGCUUGGGACUGAGCUCUGGCGGUGCUGGGGAGCUGGGGUGGGCCCCCACCUGUGACGGUGACGGUGAAGGAGGCCGACUCGUCAUCGAUCUCACACAGGUACUCGCCGGAGUCCUCUAGCUGGACGGCGGGCAGCACCAGGCGGCGGAUGGUAUCCUCCUUCUGCAGGAACAGUGUUGGGCUCUCCGCCACCUCUUCGCCAUCCUUGGUCCAGCGCACCUCGGCCCAGGGCCGGCAGAGCUCACAGGCCUGUCCCCUUCUCCUGGAAAGUGGGCCACGUGCUGGAGAAGAGGGCCCUCCCCCACUGCAGCUCAGAGAGUCUCUCACCGCUACAGUCACCCCAUCCCCAGCAUCCCAGGCUGCUGUGGCCAGAGGGACACAACCGUAGUCACCAAGGCCCACCAGGCACGUGGCAGCAUGGUGGGGACUGUGGUCACAGCCUUAGUGGGAAACGCGCCACAUUCUCUGGGUUGGGGCAGGGCUGGUAGGAAGGGUGGAAUGGGGAGAGGGCUGGGUCCCCAGAGGGAGCCAGGGUCCCCACAGGGCAUAUGAGAUCUUCUGACCCUGUGAGUGCCUGGGGUCAGACGGCAUCCCCAAGACUACCCCUUGGGAGGGGCCUUCAGGAGAACAGAGAAGGGCUUCCCCUGUGACAUAGCCGGGACCAGUGGGUUUUAUGACAGUGCAUCUCCUGAGGGUGACUGAGCUCCCGGGUGCAGGCUGUGGGUCAGGGCAGAGGGAGGGCUCUGGUCAGCAAGCAGGAGGGGCAGGGGCUGGGAGAAGCAUCUCAGGGGUGAGAGUACGGCAGCAGCUCGGACAGGGGCACCUUCCCUGGUCUAGCUGCUGUGGGCCUGCCUGGACCCCACCUGUGAUGGUGACGGUGAAGCAGGCACGCUCCUCCCCGGCGACACACUGGAACUCGCCCCCAUCUGAGGGCUGGGUGGCGGGCAGCACCAGGCGGCGAUGGGGCCCGUCACUCUCCAGCAGCACGGAGUCGCCCUCCUCCACCUCCUGGCCAUCCUUGAACCAGUGCACAAGGGUGUCCUCUUGGUCCAGCUCACAGGACAGCAUGACGCACUCGGAGGUUAUGGCAUGAACAAACACAUGCUCCUGGGGGUCCAGGAUGUGCACUGGGGGAUCUGGGACGGGACAGAAGUGGGAUCACACAGAUAGCUUACAUGGAAGACAUGAGUCCAAGCUGGCUGCUUGCCCAGUUAGACACUGUCUCCUCCCAUGAGGACACUGCGGGUGUGGGUGUGUUAAGGCCAUGCUGUGGGGGACUUAGGGGCAAUGGCCUCUCCCUCUGCAGCCCCCAUGGGGUCCUGAGGCAGGACAGGAGGUCAUGCGGCAGGUGGGUGCUCAGUGGGACCCCAGAGGAUCAGAGGCGGCUGAGUGGGAACAGAGAAGGAGGGGAGAGAGUGCACAGCAGCAGGCACCUUUUGUCUAGGCUGAACUGUCACUCUCACCAGCCAUAUCAGGGCCAGGCUUGCUGCUGCUUUUAUAGCCAGACCCACAUGCCGGUGCGAGGACGGGCAGGAGGUGGAAGACAAUGACUUAGUACAACACGGGACAGUUGACUCCUACAGGUAGUAAGUUCCUUGUCACUAGGUACAUUCAGGCAGGGGCUAGACUUCCUGGCGAUGGUAUUCAAACAGGAUUUCCACUCAAAGUGAGAAGAUGAGUUGGACUGGCGGAUCCCUAAGCUGCCCACCCAGAGAGUCAUCAUUUGUUAAGAGUGGCCCCACAGGCUCCAUCCUGGGUAUUCUGGAUCUGUAGGGCUGUGGUGGGGGUUGGCCUGGGCAUAUGCAUUUAUAACAAGCUUCCAUAAUGCUUCUGAAGCGGCCAGACAAGGGACUACGGCAUUUGAUACUUCUGUUCAACUCUGCUUUGGGUGAAAACCCACAUGAGGCAGUGAGAUAAGCAGCCCUGGGUAUGAAUCCAGCCAUGGUGUUUACUGGGUGUGGGCAAAUGGGGAAGCCACAUGGCCUCCUGGAGCCUCAGCCUCUUCACAUGAGAACUGCAGAUACUGCCCCUCAUCUAGUUGUGAGGAUCAAACAAAAUAGUGUAUAUUCACAGAGCCCAGCAGGCUGAGAGUGAGUGCUCAAAAAAUGUUAGCUCCCCUCUCCCCUUCCCUGCCCCACCCUGGCAGAGGGGAUGUAUGGGGCAAGUGAGCUAGAGGGCAUUGGUGCAUGGGAGGGUUAAGAAGCAAGUGCAGAGAGAUCCAAAAGCGUGUCCCUGGCCCACUUCUCUGUAAGGGACACCCCGACCCCCACCCAGGAGGUGGACCAGGCACAGGUCUGCAUGGCCAGCUUGCAGGGCCCGUCAUCCUCAGCUGGAGGAGCUCAAGCCGACACGGCUCCUGACCUCGGACGGUGAUGCUGAAGAAGGCCGAGGCCCCUUCAGUUCUGCACUCGAACUCGCCGCUGUCCCGGGCUUCAGCCGCAGGCAGGAUUAGGCGGUGUUUGCGCCCAUCCGCCUUCACCAGCAGCGACUCGCUCUCCGCCACCUUCUGCCCAUCCUUGUACCAGCUUGCCGGGAAGUCCACCCGCGAGAGCUCACAGGACCUGCAUCUCCGGCCUGUCUGCCCACCCCGGCCCCCACCUGCACCGACCUUGGAUGGUGAGGGCGGCCGAGUCCUGCACGCCAGGGCAGCUGAAGCCGACCAGGGCCCCACUGUCCCGGUGCUUGACGGCUUGGAGGAUGAGUCUGUGCUGCAGGCCCUUCUGCUCGAUCCGGUAGCAUAGGGCCCCGGGUUCCAUCUGGCUCUUCAGCUCAUCACUCUUGAGUUCUUCACCAUUGAGGAACCAGGUGCCCUGGAUGAUGGUGGAGAGGUCCAGGGAGAAGAUGGCAUCUUCCCCAUCGUACACCUGCACGUCCUCCAGACCCGCCACCAGGCGAGCUGUGGGCACUGGGUGGGGGCAGAGAGCAGCUGUGAGCACCAGAAGAGGAGGCAGAGGGCAGGGACUGAGGCCAGGGAGGGGAGAGGAGGUGGACGAGGGGGUACCAAUGGGCAGGGUCUGGCGGGACUGCCUCACCGAGGUGAGCAGAGCCGUGGAAGACCACAUGGGGACUCCGGCCAUGCUCGCUGACUGUGCAGACGCGGAAGCGGUAGUCGCCCUCACAGGGCACACAGUCUCCUGGCACCUCCACGGCCCCCGCUUUCUCAAUGCUGAAGCACUGGAUCCAAUCUUCCGAGCCCACCUCCUGCCGCUCCAGCCGGUAGAUGAAGGGGGUCUCGGGAGCUGGCUCCGGAGGCUUCCAGGUGAGCAGGACUGUGUUCUUGUGACCCUUGAACAUCUCCACCAACACAGGGGGUCCUGGGGGAUUGUGUUUGAUGCCUGGGACAAAGGUAAGGUUGGCAUUUUGAGCUCUGCUUGGGCUUCCCACAACCUUCCUCCUUCAUCCACUCUCCUGACCCAAGCUCAGACAUCUGGUCACCUUCCCUCCCAGGCCUCCUGCCCAGCCCUUGAGGGGCCUUCCCGGAGGCCUUCACGUCCUCACAUUUGACUCGGAGCAGAGUGGUGGUACGGGAGUUGCCCAGGCUAAAGGUGACCUCGCCAGCGUCUUCUCGGGUGACCCCGGGAAGGACCAGGGCAUGCAUGUGGCCGGAGCUGCUCUGGCAGGACGUCGAGCUUCCGGGGCAGCCGCUUCAGGAUGGGCCCUGGGACGCGGACGGGAACCCAUCAGCCCCGGGUCUGGGCACCUGCUUGCCUCCACCUCCGCCUCCUCCUGCCGGCAGCCGACCUUUGACCGUCACGUUGGCCACGGUGCGCACCCGGCCUCGCAUCUCGCACAGGUAGACGCCGUCAUCGUCCGCCUUGAGCCGGUGGAUGAUGAGGCGGCGGACGGCACCCUCCUCGAUCUGCUCGUACUUGCGGCAGGGCAGCAGCCGCUGGUCCUCGCGGAACCAGGCCGUGGGGAUGCGGGAGUUGGGGACUUUACACUCCAGCACAGCAAUCCCACGCUCGCGGCCCUCCACGUCCUGCAGGGGCCUCGUGAAGCGGAGGCGGGGCUCUGCGGAGAGGGGCGGGACAAGAGAGGGUUCUGCAGAGGGAACGCAACUCGUGCAGUUUGCUCUUUUC
Long non-coding RNA from Choloepus didactylus (southern two-toed sloth), 4573 nucleotides. RefSeq lists it as uncharacterized. The transcript has 4 exons. The record is from RefSeq and is a predicted model, not a curated record. Lineage: Eukaryota; Metazoa; Chordata; Mammalia; Pilosa; Megalonychidae.